RNAcentral lists this ribosomal RNA (403 nucleotides) under uncultured bacterium. RNAcentral's name for it is "partial 16S ribosomal RNA". It matches the Rfam family "Bacterial small subunit ribosomal RNA", at positions 28 to 526 of the family's 1533-position model. The record is from RNAcentral.
GAUGAACGCUGGCGGCGUGCCUAAUACAUGCAAGUCGAACGCAGUGGGGACGGGCGCGUAACACGUGGGUAACCUCCCAUCAGAGGGGAUAACACUUGGAAACAGGUGCUAAACCGAUACUGAUGGAUGAACCCGCGGUGCAUGAGCUAGUUGGUGAGGUAACGGCUCACCAAGGCCACGAUGCAUAGGCGACCUGAGAGGGGGUUCUGCAACACUGGUACUGAGAGACGGCCAAUAGGCCUACGGGAAGCAGCAGUAGGGAAUCUUCUGCAAUGGCCGAAAGUCUGACCGAGCAACGCCGCGUGAGUGAAGAGGGUUUUCGGAUCGUAAAACUCUGUUGUUAGAGAAGCGGUAUCUAACCAGAAAGCCACGGCUAACGACGUGCCAGGAGCCGCGGUAAGAC